GGUAGAGCAGAGGACUGAAAAUCCUCG
Molecule: transfer RNA, 27 nt
Filed under: Opuntia penicilligera
Lineage: Eukaryota; Viridiplantae; Streptophyta; Magnoliopsida; Caryophyllales; Cactaceae
Description: partial tRNA-Phe
Source: RNAcentral